UUAGGAGGACACAAUGAGAGGGAAAGUUCCGUUAACAAGGACAACUACAAGGAGCUUGCAGGGGUAACUGCGCGUUAUGAUGCUUUACUUGCUGAAAGUAUUGGAACUUUCAAAUGUCUUUUCUCUGCUGUUGCUGGUUCCUGGGAUCCUGACUGAAAAGGAACAUGGAUCAAACCCCAUCAAUUUGACGGUAGUCAACAGCAUCGGCAAUGCAGCCAAUGAGACCUACAGUGCUGACAUUGUGUUCAGAGGGAUCCUACUCGGUGCCAUGAGGAGACUGCAGCAGACCAAUGCAGACUUCAAGUUUACCUACACAGAGGACCUCAACUAUGGUCCUUUCCUGGAGAGUGUGAAUGGUGUUGCCGGGAACAAUGCUGAGCACACUUAUUGGGAGCUCCUUGUUCAGACUGGGAAGAAUGGAUCUGUGAUCAGACCUGACGUGGGCGAGUCAUGAUUUAGAAUAUGUUUCUUUCUACAGAAUUAAGGGCAAAAGCAAGUGUUAUUUACAACAAUCUAUUUGUCACAUUAAUUGUGCACAUACUGUAAACACAAAGUGAGCACACUUACUGGGAGCUCCUUGUUCCGACUGGGAAGAAUGGACCUGUGAUCAGACCUGAUGUGGGUAUUGGCUGUUACAUCCCAGAACCAAAUGACCACAUCAUCCUGAAUUUUACAAAAUGGUAAACAGUCAGAAGAAGCGCCUGCCUGAUACUGGUUCAUGAUUUGGAAAAGUGCUGUUGUCAUAAAUUGCACAUGUGCCAUAACAAGGAAAAAGUAAGGUAGUAAUGACCAACCUUUAGACUGUUUAGAAUGAAAAAUCGAGUUUCACCAGGAUACUGUUAUAUACCCAAACUACUGUAAAAUAACAUUCCAUUUGUAAUUACUGUGUCAAAGGUUAAUAAAGUAAAAGUAGCUUUGGAGUAUCAUUUGUACGGGGAAACAAAAUGACUGCAACAGUAUACCUAUACGUGCGCACACGAUCAUUUCAGAAAUUACUGUACAUAUUCUUUACACUCACGUGUGGGCGUGUAUAUAUAUACAUUUUCACCCCAAAAAGUUGCUAUCUAGAACCUAAAAGGGUUUUUGUCUGUCCCCAUAGUAGAACCCUUUUUGGUUCCACGUAGAACCCUUUCUGCAGAGGGUUCUACAUGGAAAUGGAGCAUUGAUUAUUUGAUAAACCAAGUUUGUUUUACAAAAUGCACUUGGUGGUUUAAGGACUAGUAGUCCACUAAGGUUACAAGCUGACUUGCCUGUGACCUUGGCUGAUGGCUGGCAACAUUUCAAUAUUAUGUUUGACUGUUCAGUAAAGG
This is an RNA transcript of Oncorhynchus gorbuscha (pink salmon), 1310 nucleotides long. It is a transcript of the gene named transcobalamin-1-like, with no coding region annotated. The transcript is spliced from 5 exons. The record is from RefSeq and is a predicted model, not a curated record. NCBI's taxonomy places the organism in Eukaryota, Metazoa, Chordata, Actinopteri, Salmoniformes, Salmonidae.